Molecule: ribosomal RNA, 497 nt
Filed under: uncultured bacterium
Lineage: Bacteria
Description: partial 16S ribosomal RNA
Rfam family: Bacterial small subunit ribosomal RNA
Source: RNAcentral
GAUGAACGCUGGCGGCGUGCCUAAUACAUGCAAGUCGAGCGAACAGACGAGAAGCUUGCUCCUCUGACGUUAGCGGCGGACGGGUGAGUAACACGUGGAUAACCUACCUAUAAGACUGGGAUAACUUCGGGAAACCGGAGCUAAUACCGGAUAAUAUAUUGAACCGCAUGGUUCAAUAGUGAAAGACGGUUUUGCUGUCACUUAUAGAUGGAUCCGCGCCGCAUUAGCUAGUUGGUAAGGUAACGGCUUACCAGGGCAACGAUGCGUAGCCGACCUGAGAGGGUGAUCGGCCACACUGGAACUGAGACACGGUCCAGACUCCUACGGGAGGCAGCAGUAGGGAAUCUUCCGCAAUGGGCGAAAGCCUGACGGAGCAACGCCGCGUGAGUGAUGAAGGUCUUCGGAUCGUAAAACUCUGUUAUUAGGGAAGAACAAAUGUGUAAGUAACUAUGCACGUCUUGACGGUACCUAAUCAGAAAGCCACGGCUAACUACGUG